AUGACUGGAUCAGAUACCAGGGUCGCGGCCUGCUUGAACCCGCCCACCAUAACAGAGCUGAACGCCUCCCAAGGCCUCCCGCCAUGGAUCAGCCUCGACACAAGGGUCUACCUUGCCGACCGCCACAACUCCACCACGGCGGCAGCCGAGACAAGCAAAGGCCACGCCGUCCAGGUCUCCAUCUGCUUCGCGCACCCGCCGGCCCUCUCCUACGUGUGCAUCCACUGCCCCGGCCUCCAGCACGCCAACUUCGCCAGCGAGCCACGCGUUGUCCGCUCGGAGAAGCAGUUCCUUCUCCUGCACCUGCCGCUCAACUGGUCCACCAGACUCGUGCGGCGGUCCAGUGAGUACUACAUGUACCAGGCCGUUCCAGGUAGACCACCGACGCUCUCCCGGAUUCCGGACCCACCGGGUCGUAGCUUCCUCGUGGCACGCGAUCUUGGCAUUCACUGUUGCGGCGACGGCGGGGAGUACAUCCUGGCUGGUCUGUGCCCGAGCCGUGAUGAUGCUCAAGGAGGAUAUGAACUUCACCUGUACUCGUCGGUGUCGAGAGCAUGGACCAGGAAACCUGCUUAUCUGGAGAAACCACCGAUUGAGGAGCAGCUUCCUGUUGCAUCGCACAAGGUAAUCCCCCUUGGAGGGAGCCUGCUAGGCUGGGUCGAUCUUUGGAGGGGUAUUAUGGUGUGCGACGUGCUCUCUGAUGAGACUUAUGCAUGCGUGUGGUUUGUCCCACUUCCCGGCCUGAUGCCUGGGAACGAGGCUGAUUGUCAUUUGUGCCCAUGGGUCAUUCGAGACAUCACUUGCAUCAAUGGAUCGUUCAAGUUAGUCGAGAUCGAACUUAUUUCUUUACCCCCAAAAAACAAAGAUGAAUAA
This 873-nucleotide ribosomal RNA is filed under the name Triticum aestivum (bread wheat). RNAcentral describes it as "partial small subunit ribosomal RNA". The record is from RNAcentral. Lineage: Eukaryota; Viridiplantae; Streptophyta; Magnoliopsida; Poales; Poaceae.